RNAcentral lists this ribosomal RNA (253 nucleotides) under uncultured bacterium. RNAcentral describes it as "partial 16S ribosomal RNA". It matches the Rfam family "Bacterial small subunit ribosomal RNA", at positions 524 to 776 of the family's 1533-position model. The record is from RNAcentral.
UACAGGGGGGGCAAGCGUUGUUCGGAAUUACUGGGCGUAAAGGGCUCGUAGGUGGCCAACUAAGUCAGACGUGAAAUCCCUCAGCUUAACUGGGGAACUGCGUCUGAUACUGGAUGGCUUGAGUUCGGUAGGGGAGACUGGAAUUCCUGGUGUAGCGGUGUAAUGCGCAGAUAUCAGGAGGAACACCGGUGGCGAAGGCGGGUCUCUGGGCCGAUACUGACGCUGAGGAGCGAAAGCGUGGGGAGCGAACAGG